This 471-nucleotide ribosomal RNA is filed under the name uncultured bacterium. Its description in RNAcentral is "SSU rRNA". It matches the Rfam family "Bacterial small subunit ribosomal RNA", at positions 26 to 518 of the family's 1533-position model. The record is from RNAcentral.
AGGAUGAACGCUGGCGGCGUGCCUAACACAUGCAAGUCGAACGUCCUGUCUCGCAAGAGGCAGGGAGUGGCGGACGGGUGAGUACCACGUGGGUCAUCUACCGUGAGGUGAGGAAUACCGGCGAGAAAUCGCCGACAAGACCGCAUAGCCUCGGUGCAAGCCGAGGAAAGCUCUUUCGAGAGAGGGAGCGCCACACGAGGAGCCUGCGCCCGAUUAGCUAGCUGGUGGAGUAACGGUUCACCAGGGCGACGAUCGGUAGCUGGUCUGAGAGGACGAUCAGCCACACUGGGAUUGAGAACGGCCCAGACUCCUACGGGGGGCAGCAGUGAGGAAUUUUCGUCAAUGGGGCAACCCUGAACGAGCAACGCCGCGUGCAGGAGAAGGUUUUCGGAUCGUAAACUGCUUUUCUCGGGGAAGAGAACGGACGGUACCCGAGGAAUCAGCCCCGGCUAACUACGUGCCAGCAGCCGC